UUUAAAGUUGGUAUAGCCGAAGUUUGUGGAGAAGGCCUGCACUACGUAGGGGCAGUGAUCGUGGACCCGGCAGCAGCUCCACGAAGUUUUGAAGUGCAGGCUUCCGAAUCUACAUUACCAAGUUGGUCAUAGUUCUCGGCGAUGUUUCCAGCUCCACACCAGAGCGUCCCAGGCCCCAAUCUGCACACGUGCAUGAAGGACUUCACCUCCAUCUGGCUGCGUGUUACGGAGCAGUCAGCAAGGUCCCCGGCGAGAUUGCGAAGCGUGCGCACCUCCUCGGCGCCAUCCGACACUUGGUGGAGGUAGUUUCCUGCAAGCCUGGUACUCCUACCGCAGAAGGGCGGGUAGUUGGAGUUUACUCACGGACGAUGUCACCGACGCGCCUUGAGCCGCUUUUCUCCAGCUCCGCCAAGACGUUGGCCUCGAAGGUCAGCGACGCCACGCGGAAGAACAACUCCCGAACGUUCUCACCUG
Paramormyrops kingsleyae is the source of this 474-nucleotide long non-coding RNA. RefSeq lists it as uncharacterized. The record is from RefSeq and is a predicted model, not a curated record. NCBI's taxonomy places the organism in Eukaryota, Metazoa, Chordata, Actinopteri, Osteoglossiformes, Mormyridae.